GACGAACGCUGGCGGCGUGCUUAACACAUGCAAGUCGAACGGAAAGGCCCUGCUUUUGUGGGGCGCUCGAGUGGCGAACGGGUGAGUAACACGUGAGUAACCUGCCCUUGACUUUGGGAUAACUUCAGGAAACUGGGGCUAAUACCGGAUAGGAGCUCCUGCUGCAUGGUGGGGGUUGGAAAGUUUCGGCGGUUGGGGAUGGACUCGCGGCUUAUCAGCUUGUUGGUGGGGUGGUGGCUUACCAAGGCUUUGACGGGUAGCCGGCCUGAGAGGGUGACCGGCCACAUUGGGACUGAGAUACGGCCCAGACUCCUACGGGAGGCAGCAGUGGGGAAUAUUGCACAAUGGGCGGAAGCCUGAUGCAGCAACGCCGCGUGCGGGAUGACGGCCUUCGGGUUGUAAACCGCUUUCGCCUGUGACGAAGCGUGAGUGACGGUAAUGGGUAAAGAAGCACCGGCUAACUACGUG
Molecule: ribosomal RNA, 468 nt
Filed under: uncultured bacterium
Lineage: Bacteria
Description: partial 16S ribosomal RNA
Rfam family: Bacterial small subunit ribosomal RNA
Source: RNAcentral